ACUCAAAUGAAUUGACGGGGACUCGCACAAGCAGUGGAGCAUGUGGUUUAAUCCGAUACAACGCGUAGAACCUUACCAAGGCUUGACAUGCAACGCAAAAACAAGGAAACUUGUCAGAGGUUAUCGUUGCACAGGUGCUGCAUGGCCGUCGUCAGUUCGUGCCGUGAGGUGUAUGGUUAAGUCCUAUAACGAACGUAACCCUUGUGCUUAGUUGCUAACAUUUAGUUGAGGACUCUAAGCAGACUGCCAGGGUAACCUGGAGGAAGGAAAGGAUGACGUCUGGUCGUCAUGGCCCUUAUGCCUUGGGCGACACACAUGCUACAAUGGUUAAUACAAAGGGUUGCCAACCCGCGAGGGGGAGCUAAUCUCAAAAAAUUAACCUCAGUUCGGAUUGGAGGCUGAAACUCGCCUCCAUGAAGCAGGAAUUGCUAGUAAUCGCAAAUCAGCCAUGUUGCGGUGAAUACGUUCUCGAGUCUUGUACACACCGCCCGU
RNAcentral lists this ribosomal RNA (492 nucleotides) under uncultured bacterium. RNAcentral's name for it is "partial 16S ribosomal RNA". It matches the Rfam family "Bacterial small subunit ribosomal RNA", at positions 899 to 1397 of the family's 1533-position model. The record is from RNAcentral.